Molecule: ribosomal RNA, 447 nt
Filed under: uncultured bacterium
Lineage: Bacteria
Description: partial 16S ribosomal RNA
Rfam family: Bacterial small subunit ribosomal RNA
Source: RNAcentral
AGCGAACGCUGGCGGCAGGCUUAACACAUGCAAGUCGAACGCCCCGCAAGGGGAGUGGCAGACGGGUGAGUAACACGUGGGAACGUACCCUUUGGUUCGGAAUAACUUGGGGAAACUCAAGCGAAUACCGGAUAAGCCCUUAAGGGGAAAGGUUUACUGCCGAAGGAUCGGACCGCGUCUGAUUAGCUAGUUGGUGAGGUAAUGGCUCAACAAGGCAACGAUCAGUAGCUGGUCCGAGAGGAUGAUCAGCCACACUGGGAGUGAGACACGGCCCAGACUCCUACGGGAGGCAGCAGUGGAGAAUAUUGGACAAUGGGGGCAACCCUGAUCCAGCCAUGCCGCGUGAGUGAUGAAGGCCUUAGGGUUGUAAAGCUCUUUUACCCGGGACGAUAAUGACUGUACCGGGAGAAUAAGCCCCGGCUAACUUCGUGCCAGCCGCCGCCGUAA